GCCAUGACCUUUCAAAGAUGAUUGUGAGCCGCCUCAUUAUUGUGUCUAACAGAUCUCCCAGCACUCAUGGAUCAUCCCAGAAGGGUCCCUCAACCUCUGGAUUUCGAGUUUGCCGAUGUCUCCCCUAACACAAUUCUCCAUGACCAGAGGCACUAAGUAAGUGGGAGUCCACAAGCCACAGGAGCUGUGACGAGCUAAAGCCCCUACAUGCUGGUGGGGGUCCUCUUUUUCAGGUUCUCACCACUGCCUUCCAGAACUGCACACAUACCCCGUUUUAUCCCUGAACAGAAUUAAAUUCUCAUGCAAUCUCUUGGCUCUGGGAGGCCAGGAACUGGGCUGUUCACAAGGUCUCUGAACUGCUCAGGAGAAAGGUGCAGUAUCUGUGCCAUGCAUGAAAUGUGGUAACAUCUAGCUUUGAAUUCUGCUCAACUGUUGGCCAGACAGCUGAUGAGACUUAUCCAAUUUCUAGAGCACUUCAUCUGCUCUGUGAAAUGGAAAA
Cyanistes caeruleus (blue tit) is the source of this 499-nucleotide long non-coding RNA. RefSeq lists it as uncharacterized. The record is from RefSeq and is a predicted model, not a curated record. NCBI's taxonomy places the organism in Eukaryota, Metazoa, Chordata, Aves, Passeriformes, Paridae.